This 3092-nucleotide long non-coding RNA is filed under the name Citrus maxima (pomelo). Its description in RNAcentral is "long non-coding RNA (CMAX_LNC003721)". The record is from RNAcentral. Lineage: Eukaryota; Viridiplantae; Streptophyta; Magnoliopsida; Sapindales; Rutaceae.
GAAGCUUGUCUGAAGACGUGUACAUGCUAAUACCUAAUGGUUUUGUUGAGCGUGGUAAAGAAAACAUGGUGUGUAAGCUUAAAAGGUCUAUUUAUGGACUUAAACAAGCAUCCAGACAAUAAUAUUUGAAAUUUUAUGACAUUGUCAUCUCUUAUGGGUUUCAGGAGAAUGUUGUUGAUCAAUAUAUAUACUUGAGGGUCAGUGGAGCAAAUAUAUUAUUUUAGUGCUAUACGUGGAUGAUAUAUUUCACGUUGUUAAUGACAUUAAUUUUUUACUUGAGACAAAAUAAAUGUUGUCAUGCAAUUUUGAUAUGAAAUAUCUCGGUGAAUCUCAUUAUCUAUUAGGGAUAGAAAUUCUUCGUGACAGAUUUAGAAGAGUUCUAGAAUUGUCUCAAAAGGCCUACAUUGAUCGUAUUUUGAAAAGGUUCAACUUACGGUCUUAUGCUCCUGGAAAAGCAUCAAUUUCAAAAGGUGACAAACUUUCCAAGUCUCAAUGUCCAGAUAAUGAUGUAUACAAAGCUAGAAUGCAAACAGUCUCAUAUGCAUCAGUUGUGGGUAGCUUGAUGUAUGCUCAAAUUUGCACUCGCCCUGAUAUCACCUUUACAAUGGGAGUACUUGGGAGAUACCUAAGCAAUUCUGGAUUUGAACACUAGAAGGCUGUAAAGAAAGUGCUCAGAUAUUUGCAAGCCACCAAAGAUUUUGCUUUGAAAUAUCAACAAUCUGAUUAUUUAAAUAUAGUUGGAUAUUCUAAUGCUGAUUUUGCAAGAUGUUUAGAAGAUAAUAAAUUCACAUUUUGUUACAUCUUCAUUAUGGCAAGAAGAGCUAUAUCAUCAAAAAGUGCAAAGCAGACACUUAUAGCUUCUUCAACAAUGGAGACAGAAUAUGUAGCAUGUUUUAAGGCUACACAUCAAGCUUUAUGGAUGCAGAAUUUUAUCGCAGCGUAUUGUAUUGGUUGUACCAAGACCAUUAAAAAUAUAUUGUCAUAAUUCUGCAGUUGUUUCUUUUUCUCACAAUACAUGGAGUUCCUCACAUUCUAGACACAUUAAUGUUAAAUAUUUAUUUGUGAGAGAGAAAAUUACUCUAUCUUAUGUAUCAGUAGAGUACAUACCUACAAAACUCAUGUUACUUACUAAAACUUUAGCUCCAAAGUGUUUAGGGAGCAUGUGACUCAUAUGCAAUUAUUAGAAUCCACUUAUAUAUGCUUAGUCAGUGAGAGUUUUGAUUUGUAUUAUGAGUUACAACUUAAAUGAGAUUAUGUAUUACUCAUUUUGUUAUUAUGCAUGCAUAUUGUUAUGUGACAUUGAUAUGCCAUAUAUUGUGUACACAUUUAGUUGAGUAUGACAUUAUGUAUACAGUGACGAUAUUGUGGUCCGAGACAUUUUGUUUAGUCUCAAUAUGGACAUUAUGGACUGAAGCAUUAUGGCUUGGCUUCAUAAUACUUUCUUGAGACAUUUUGUUUCAGUCUCAUUAUGGUUAUAAAAAAGCACGGCUUCCUUUAGACAUCUUGGUAUUAGUCUCAUUAUAAUGAAAAGGAAGCUCAUUUUUCGAGAUAUUUUGAUCGAGUCUCCUUAUGGUUGUGAAGAAGCGAUAGUCUAGGAGACAUUUUGUUUUCGUCUCAUUUUGCUAGACAUAUGGACUUUAUGGAAAUGAGUAUGUUGAUCACAUUGUCACGCUAUUUCCAUAAUUAUACUUGUAUACUACUAUAUAGUCACGUGUUUUUAGGUAUCUUGUUGUAUGUAGCAUCUGAUCGGUGCAUAUAUGAUUUUGGUACUUAUGGCACAUUUGGAACUUAUUUAUGUUUUGGGUGAUUGCUAACAUUUGACUUUUUGUUAUAGUCAUAUAUUGAUUAAUUUGGUUGUUUUCAAAAUAUUUAUUUUAUUUUAUUUUAAAACUAUCAUUAGAAUGACUAGCUGUGUUCUAGUUUUAAAUAGUAACAAGCUGGAGCUUAACCCUAGUAGUUUUGUCAUAUAAUGGGAUUAAAUGAUGGGGGAAUGCCUAUAAAAUUCGAGAGUGACAAUGCAAAAGUGGUUACAUAUCUAGAAAUGUUUAGUGCAAUAUCCAAAGGAAUUAACUAUUAGAUUUAUUUCUCACAUUUUAUAAAUUGACAUAAAUCAUUCUAAUUCUUUUCUAUAUUUUAUCAAAUUAAUACGUGACUAAUGUCAAAUAUUAAGGAGUAAUUUUGACAGACUCAUUUAUUAAGUGAUCAAAUAUUAUGUUAAUGAGUCUGAUUUUAAUAUACCCUAUAUAAUAGUAUAUUGUAGAUAAAUAUAAUAUUUAAUUAUAUUAUUUUAACUCAUAAUGAGAUGAACAAAUUUAUAUUAACACAUGAGGCAGUCGCUACACUCAACCAUAAUAUUUAAAUCAUUUUAGCCCAUUGAAAAUUUAUUAUUGAACAAGCUGAGAACAAUAGUAUAGUGCACGAUCUCUUUCUUGUUCCCUUCCUCUCCUGUGUGUGUGCAGGGAAUUUGAGCAAAAAUUCAAAUCUUGGGUUAAGGUGAAACAAGCAAAAUUCAGAUAUUUGAAUCUAGUUCGUGAUAGAAGCUAUAUAAUAAACUUACAAACUCAGAUUCAUGACAAAUUAAACUAAAUCUUAAAAUUUAAUUUAAUGUGUGUGUUUACUUGGAAAUGAAAAUGUAAGAUUAAAGGCAUAAAACUCUUUUUUUUUCUAUCAUCAGUAAAAGCUCCUAUUUUUCAUCCAUCAGAGUGCAAAUACUUACAAAAAGCUCGCGAAUCCGUAUUGGGUAAUGGCUUCGAUUGUUCCAUCUGCAUUAGCAUCGGCUUCCACCACUCCUCCUCCAUCGCAAAUCUGUAAAUCGCAAGUCUUCCGCUUACAAGUCCCUACCAGCUUCACGCUGCAAUGAAAUUACACAAUGAUAAUAUUGAUCGUGUUUUUCGGAAGCCAAUUUAAAUUUUGAAAUAAAGAACGAAUAAAUAAAUUAUAAUUUCUCACCACUAACUUUCGGUUGCCUUACUGGUGAGUCCCUAAAUUACUCAUUAGCCCUACUUUCAGCCAUCAAAUUCACGGCUGAAAUGGAUUGUGAGAGUAAGUAGCUGCCACCUGCUGCAACGGUUAUCAGUGGGGGUGUAAAAUUG